CCUACGGGAGGCAGUAGUGAGGAAUAUUGGUCAAUGGACGGAAGUCUGAACCAGCCAUGCCGCGUGCAGGAUGACGGCUCUAUGAGUUGUAAACUGCUUUUGUACGAGAAUAAUAGUUCUUACGUGUAGGGAUUUGAAUGUAUCGUACGAAUAAGGAUCGGCUAACUCCGUGCCAGCAGCCGCGGUAAUACGGAGGAUUCGAGCGUUAUCCGGAUUUAUUGGGUUUAAAGGGUGCGUAGGCGGACAGUCAAGUCAGCGGUAAAAAUGCGGUGCUCAACGCCGUACAGCCGUUGAAACUGGCAGUCUUGAGUGGGCGAGAAGUAUGCGGAAUGCGUGGUGUAGCGGUGAAAUGCAUAGAUAUCACGCAGAACUCCGAUUGCGAAGGCAGCAUACCGGCGCCCGACUGACGCUGAGGCACGAAAGCGUGGGUAUCGAACAGGAUUAGAUACCCGUGUAGUC
This 459-nucleotide ribosomal RNA is filed under the name uncultured bacterium. RNAcentral's name for it is "partial 16S ribosomal RNA". It matches the Rfam family "Bacterial small subunit ribosomal RNA", at positions 338 to 795 of the family's 1533-position model. The record is from RNAcentral.